GUGAGGAAUUUUCCGCAAUGGGCGAAAGCCUGACGGAGCAAUGCCGCGUGAAGGAUGAAGGCCUAUGGGUUGUAAACUUCUUUUCUCAGAAAAGAAUUAUGACGGUAUCUGAGGAAUAAGCAUCGGCUAACUCUGUGCCAGCAGCCGCGGUAAGACAGAGGAUGCAAGCGUUAUCCGGAAUGAUUGGGCGUAAAGCGUCUGUAGGUUGUUUAAAAAGUAUUCUGUCAAAGAUUAGGGCUUAACCCUAGAGAGGCAGAAUAAACUUUUAAGCUAGAGUUUGGUAGAGGCAGAGGGAAUUCCCGGUGGAGCGGUGAAAUGCGUAGAUAUCGGGAGGAACACCAAAGGCGAAGGCACUCUGCUGGGCCAAUACUAACACUGAGAGACGAAAGCGAGGGGAGCAAAUGGGAUUAGAAACCCGUGUAGUCC
RNAcentral lists this ribosomal RNA (426 nucleotides) under uncultured bacterium. RNAcentral's name for it is "partial 16S ribosomal RNA". It matches the Rfam family "Bacterial small subunit ribosomal RNA", at positions 354 to 796 of the family's 1533-position model. The record is from RNAcentral.